GGACGGGUAGCUCAGUUGGUAGAGCAACGGACUGAAAAUCCGUGUGUCGGCGGUUCGAUCCCGCCCCCGUCCA
This 73-nucleotide transfer RNA is filed under the name Pirellulales bacterium. RNAcentral's name for it is "tRNA-Phe". It matches the Rfam family "tRNA". From Rfam's summary of the family: Transfer RNA (tRNA) molecules are approximately 80 nucleotides in length. Their secondary structure includes four short double-helical elements and three loops (D, anti-codon, and T loops). The record is from RNAcentral. RNAcentral also lists the same sequence under 1 other name. Lineage: Bacteria; Pseudomonadati; Planctomycetota; Planctomycetia; Pirellulales.